This is a long non-coding RNA of Papaver somniferum (opium poppy), 680 nucleotides long. RefSeq lists it as uncharacterized. The transcript is spliced from 3 exons. The record is from RefSeq and is a predicted model, not a curated record. NCBI's taxonomy places the organism in Eukaryota, Viridiplantae, Streptophyta, Magnoliopsida, Ranunculales, Papaveraceae.
CAUUUCCUGGGCGCCUUAAUAAUUAUUCUUGGCCUUAUUACCCAAAACGUGUCGAGUGAAACUCAUUUUCUCUUCUCCUUUCUCUUCUUUCUUCUUUCUUCUUCUAUCGUCCUGUUCUUCUUCUUCUGCGAUUGAUUGAGGUUUCGUGAGAGUUUUUGUUGAGGUAAAUCAGUUGAGGGAGAUGUAUAGAUGAAAAAGGGAUUCCCUGUUCUAUAGGAUUUGAGUGUAGAAGAUGGUGUUGAUGAAGAAUCGAUAAAAGAACGAUUCCAAGGAUGAACCAGUGGAUUGUGGAUUUCAAGGUAGGCGUGGCUUGACAUCAAAUCAGUUUCAGUAUUCAGAAGAAAAGGCGCACGUGAAGAUAAUCGUUUCUGUAGCGUAAAGUUUUCAGCGAGUUGAAGAUGUUAUUUAUAUUUUAUAUAUGUAUUCUUUCUCUGUAAACAACACAUGGUUAUAUUCAUAUCACAUGAGAGAUCUUCAUCUAUAUUAUAUCAGAGUCUAUGGGUUUGUUUUUGGAUUUAGCUUAUGUAGUAGAGACUCUUAAGAUUGUUAAUCUAGAUUUUAUGCUUCAAUUAGGUUGUAAUCCUAUUAGCUAAACAGGUUUAGUACUUGGGGCGUCACAAUUUUCCUUUUUCUUUUUGGACUUUUUGGACAUUAUUUGGACUUUGGACAUUAUUUUUUUA